Molecule: long non-coding RNA, 1836 nt
Organism: Macaca fascicularis (crab-eating macaque)
Lineage: Eukaryota; Metazoa; Chordata; Mammalia; Primates; Cercopithecidae
Source: Ensembl
UUUUUUCUUUUUUUUUUUUUCUGUAAUCCCGGCACUUCGGGAGGCUGAGGCAAGUGGAUCACCUGAGGUCAGGAGUUUUAGACCAGCCUGGCCAACAUGGUGAAACCCCAUCUCUACUAAAAAUACAAAAAUUAGCCAAGUGUGGUGGCUCAUGCCUGUAAUCCCAACUCCUUGGGAGCCUGAAGCAUGAGAAUCGUUAGGUAGAGGUUGCAGUGAGCCAAGAUCGUGCCACUGCACUCCAGUCUGGGCAACAGAGCCAGACUCGGUCUAUAAAUAAAUAAAUAAAUAAAAGAAAUGCUAUUGAUUUUUUACAUUGGUUUUGCAUCCUAAAACCUUACUUGUUUACCAAUUCUAGGAGCCUUUGGGCAGAGACUGUGAAUUUUUCUAGGUACAGAAUUAUACUGUCUAUGAAGAGAGAUAGUUUGACUUGCUCUUUUCCAGUUGGUUGUCUUUUAUUUCUUUCUCUUGCCUGAUUGCUCUGGAUGGAAUUCCAGUACUCUGUUGAAUAAGAGUGGUGAGAAUGGGCAUCCUUGUCUUGUGCUGGUUCUCAAGGGGAAUGCUUCCAGUUUUUGCCCAUUAGUAUGAUAUUGGCUGUGGGUUUGUCAUAGAUAGCUCUAAUAUUUUAAGGUAUAUUCCCUCAUUGCCUAGUUUGUUGAGGGCUUUUAAUAUGAAGGGGUGUUAAUUUUUAUCAAAAGCCUUUUCUGCAUUUCUUGAGAUGAUCAUGUGGUUUUUGUAGUUCUGUUUAUGUGGUGAAUCACAUUUAUUGAUUCAUACAUGUUGAACCAAACCUUUUAUCCUAGGGAUAAAGCCCAUUUGAUUGUUUGGUAGAUUACCUUUCUGAUUUGCUGCUGGAUUCAAUUUGCUCGUAUUUUGUUGAGGAUUUUGUGUUUGUGUUCAUCAGGUAUAUUGGUCUUAAGUUUUCUUUUUUCUUUUUGUCUUUGCCAUGUUUUAGUAUGAGAAUGAUGCUGGCCUUGUAGAAUGAGUUAGGAACAAGUCCCUCCUCCUCAAUAUUUUUGAAUAAUUUUAGUAGAAUUAGUAUCACGUCUUCUUUACACAUCUGGAAGAAUUAGCUGUGAAUCUAUCUGGUCCAGGGCUUUUUCCGGUUGAUAGGGAUUUUUAAAAAAAUAGCUCAUUCAAUUUUGAAACUCAUUAAUUGAUCUCUUCAGGAUUUCAGUUUCUUCCUACUUCAGUCUUGGGAGGCUGUAUGUUUCUAAGAAUUCAUCCAUUUCUUUUAGGUUUUCCAGUUUGUGUGCAUAGAAGUGUUCAUAAUAGUCUCCAGAGUUUUUUUUUUUCCUGUGGGGUUGAGGGUAGUGUAACCUAUGUCAUUUCUAAUUGUAUUUAUCUGUAUCUUCUUUUUCUCAUUUAUUAAUCUAUAGUGAGCUAUUGUUCUCAUUUAUUCUUUUGAUGGACCAACUCUUGCCUUCAUUGAUGUUUUGUGUGGAUUUUCACAUCUCAGUUUCAUUUACCUCAGCUCUGAUUUUGGUUAUUGCUUUCCUUUUGCUAGUUUUGGGGUUGAUUUGUUCUUAUUUUUCAGUUUCUCUAGGUGUGAUCUUAGGUUGUUAAUUUAAGACCUUUCUAACUUCUUGAUAUAGGCAUUUAGCACUAUAAACUUUCCUCUUAACACUGCUUUGGCUGUGUCCCAGAGAUUCUGGCAUGUUGUAUUUUUGUUUUUAUUCAUUUCAAAGAACUUUUUCAAUUUUUGCCUUAAUUUGAUUCUUUACCCCAAAAGUCAUUCAGGAGCAGGUUGUUUAAUUUUCAUGUAAUUAUGUGGUUUUGAGAGAUCUUCUUGGUAUUUAUUUCUAUUUUUAUUAAACUGUGGUCUUUGAGAGUGUGGUU